GACGAACGCUGGCGGCGUGCUUAACACAUGCAAGUCGAACGAUGACGACCGAGCUUGCUCGGUCUGAUUAGUGGCGAACGGGUGAGUAACACGUGAGCAACCUGCCCUUCACUCUGGGAUAACCUCGGGAAAUCGGGGCUAAUACCGGAUAUGAGCUCCUGUCGCAUGGCGGGUGUUGGAAAGUUUUUCGGUGAAGGAUGGGCUCGCGGCCUAUCAGUUUGUUGGUGAGGUAGUGGCUCACCAAGGCGAUGACGGGUAGCCGGCCUGAGAGGGCGACCGGCCACACUGGGACUGAGACACGGCCCAGACUCCUACGGGAGGCAGCAGUGGGGAAUAUUGCACAAUGGGCGAAAGCCUGAUGCAGCGACGCCGCGUGAGGGAUGACGGCCUUCGUGUUGUAAACCUCUUUCAGCAGGGAAGAAGCGAAAGUGACGGUACCUGCAGAAGAAGCGCCGGCUAACUACGUG
Molecule: ribosomal RNA, 467 nt
Filed under: uncultured bacterium
Lineage: Bacteria
Description: partial 16S ribosomal RNA
Rfam family: Bacterial small subunit ribosomal RNA
Source: RNAcentral